UGAAUAUCACGAGUUUGGAUUUAGCUUUAAAUACAAAGGUUCCGCAUUGCCUCUGUUUCACACGGAUCCGAGAAGAAGAACAUCUCCCGGAAGUGCAGACGAACAAGCCGAACGGUGAUAACAACCUUGCAUCUUCAAAAUGAAAGAUAAAAAAUAAAUAACAAACAAUGUCAAAUCAUGUCGUUACCAUUUGAACACCACGUUGAGCCACUCGGAAAUAGCUGCCACCCAAACCACCGCAAUGCCCACUCGUUUGCUGAUGAAAUACGUGAAAGGAAAGACAAGAAGAAAUGCAGCUUUUGGAUCUCCCAGAUGUGACAAGACAAGCCAGAAGUUUUCAUAACUCUUCGUCCCCUGCUGGAGAGUUUCCGCCAUCCAAAUGCCGUUUCUAUGAAUGAUGUCCAUGUCUAAAGAACAGUCACGUUAAAGUUGACAAACGUGGGAACAUCAGAGACACAGUUCCUCGGGUUAAGAAGAAGAGGAGGAGGUGGAUGAUGUUGUCCUGAGGAAACCGCUGUGUCCUGACCUACGCUGUCCACUAGAGGGAGCAAUUCUAACGGUUAAACUGCGGUCAAAUAUUAAAAUGGUCAAACCUGUGAAAUAA
Boleophthalmus pectinirostris (great blue-spotted mudskipper) is the source of this 604-nucleotide long non-coding RNA. RefSeq lists it as uncharacterized. The record is from RefSeq and is a predicted model, not a curated record. NCBI's taxonomy places the organism in Eukaryota, Metazoa, Chordata, Actinopteri, Gobiiformes, Gobiidae. The transcript has 2 exons.